UACGUAGGGGGCGAGCGUUGUCCGGAUUUAUUGGGCGUAAAGAGCUCGUAGGCGGUUCAGUAAGUCAGAUGUGAAAACUCAGGGCUCAACCCUGAGCCUGCAUUUGAUACUGCUGUGACUAGAGGCUGGUAGGGGAUCACGGAAUUCCUGGUGUAGCGGUGGAAUGCGCAGAUAUCAGGAGGAACACCGAUGGCGAAGGCAGUGAUCUGGGCCAGUUCUGACGCUGAGGUACGAAAGCGUGGGGAGCAAACAGG
This 254-nucleotide ribosomal RNA is filed under the name uncultured bacterium. Its description in RNAcentral is "partial 16S ribosomal RNA". It matches the Rfam family "Bacterial small subunit ribosomal RNA", at positions 524 to 776 of the family's 1533-position model. The record is from RNAcentral.